RNAcentral lists this ribosomal RNA (253 nucleotides) under uncultured bacterium. RNAcentral's name for it is "partial 16S ribosomal RNA". It matches the Rfam family "Bacterial small subunit ribosomal RNA", at positions 524 to 776 of the family's 1533-position model. The record is from RNAcentral.
UACGUAGGGGGCAAGCGUUGUCCGGAUUUAUUGGGCGUAAAGCGUGCGCAGGCGGUUUUGUAAGUCAGAUGUGAAAUCCCCGGGCUUAACCUGGGAACUGCGUUUGAAACUACAAGGCUAGAGUGUGGCAGAGGGGGGUGGAAUUCCACGUGUAGCAGUGAAAUGCGUAGAGAUGUGGAGGAACACCGAUGGCGAAGGCAGCCCCCUGGGUUAACACUGACGCUCAGGCACGAAAGCGUGGGGAGCAAACAGG